RNAcentral lists this ribosomal RNA (349 nucleotides) under uncultured rumen bacterium. Its description in RNAcentral is "bacterial SSU rRNA". It matches the Rfam family "Bacterial small subunit ribosomal RNA", at positions 20 to 363 of the family's 1533-position model. The record is from RNAcentral.
UGGCUCAGGAUGAACGCUGGCGGCAGGCUUAACACAUGCAAGUCGAGGGGCAGCGCGAGGGUAGCAAUACCUUUGGCGGCGACCGGCGCACUGGUGAGUAACACGUAUGCGACCUGCCCCGGACAGGGGGAUAAACCCGGGAAACUGGGCCUAAUACCCCAUACGCCCAGGAGAUGCAUGUCUUCUGGGUGAAAGAUCCGUCGGUCCGGGAUGGGCAUGCGGCGCAUUAGCUUGUUGGCGGGGUAACGGCCCACCAAGGCGACGAUGCGUAGGGGUUCUGAGAGGAAGGUCCCCCACACUGGUACUGAGACACGGACCAGACUCCUACGGGAGGCAGCAGUGGGGAAUA